This is a long non-coding RNA of Pezoporus flaviventris, 1532 nucleotides long. RefSeq lists it as uncharacterized. The record is from RefSeq and is a predicted model, not a curated record. NCBI's taxonomy places the organism in Eukaryota, Metazoa, Chordata, Aves, Psittaciformes, Psittacidae. The transcript has 3 exons.
UCAGGUCAGUGUCAUUAAGAAAUGGAUGCUCUUCUGGUGAUGUUAAGUGGGCAAGUCUCUGACUUCAAGAUGAUUGCCAAGUUUAUUGCUUCCCUCCCUUUUUAUUGUCCCUGGAGUGGUGACCCUUGGGGCUUUGCUUUGUUGUGGAAAGGGGCAGCUUGUCUGCUCAGGCCUGCCUUCCCUUUGGGAGAGUGAAUCCUUCAGUGGUGGCUCCUUUUUAGGGUUUUCACUUCAGCCUCCUCUCCAGUGCUGCCACUAAUCUAACAAAGUACGUGUGGCGGUGUAGCGACUGGUGGGGAAUUGGAUGACACAUGUCUCGCUAUGUCCUGGCCGCUCUCAGAGGACACCACGCGAGUGUGCCAGCAAGUGGACAACACUUCCCCUGAGACAGCCUGCCGGAUCAAAAUAAACUUGAGUUAUGGAUUUAUUCAGCUUCUAAUACCUCAGCUGGCAUAAAUAAUUGAGAAAGCAAAGGUUUGUCUGUGGUGCAUACCUCAGGGACCCACUCCUGUCUUCCUCCCUCCCACCACCCUUUCUUAUGAAAAUGAUCCCAGUUGCACUGAUAGAUAAUAACAACACCAAGCAAUUAAAAGCUAUGGGUGGCUGGAGAGAGGAGAAAAGGUUCAGUUAAUGAGCUUUUCCUCUUCCUGUGCCCAGGAGAGCCUCAGAAGUGAGGAGGUGAUUAAAGCAAAGAGAUAAUUAUAGAUUAUGUGAAAUGGGUCCCUUGGGGGCCAAGGGCCUUGACAAAAACAGUAAGUGUUUCGAGUGUCUCUCUGCUCCCCACAUGCUGUGUUCCGCUCCGCCGCACUCCCACUUGCUCAGCAGCACCUUGCCAAGCAGAUGGGAGAAGCCACCUGUUAGCAGCACCCGGGGCCACUCCAGAGCGGGUCCACUGGGACGUGGCUUGGACCAGCCCCAGGAAAAGGGGAGAGGAUGCCCAAAGUAGCACCCAAUCACAGCCCUCUGUGCUGGAGGUAACCUGCAAGGGGGGAGGAAGGGCAUGGGGCAAACCUGGAGGAUGCUGUCUGUGUGAGCGUAGAAUACCUGAAUACCAGGUCUCUUCUGUGCUGUUUUUCCUGGUAGUCUUGGUGGCUGUUUAGAAAGUAAGGAGGUUUACAGCACUCAAGGCUUAAGCUUUGCAAGCUUGGAAGAAGAUGACUUUGUUUAAAUUCUUCCACAUACUUUUAUUCAAGGACGAAGAAAGUUGCCCAUGUAUUACCUGCAGGCAACAGAUAUGUUUCAGCUCAGUGUCAAAUCAGAGCUAGCAUUUCUUACUGGGGAUGAGGGAAAGCAGAAGAAAAUAGCCUGGAGGGGGGUUGAACAUGAGUCAGCAGGGAGGAGAGAAACCCUUCUGGCCAUCUUCAGGAAAUAGAUGUAAACGCUGUUUCUACCAGUUUCUGGGCCUUGAUGCUGACGAUAUCUGGAAUUCAGCUUCACAUGACUGGUUCUUUUUGCAGAUAAAAUGUCUGUGGUUUGACUGCAUGGACUUCUCAGACCUAUUCAGGAAAGGGCUUGUUUCUCUUUCUAAUAUU